GCACUGCUGAGGAGUCCCAUAAUAGGGACGAAACGGCCGUCCAGUGU
Non-coding RNA from Schistosoma rodhaini, 47 nucleotides. The record is from Rfam. NCBI's taxonomy places the organism in Eukaryota, Metazoa, Platyhelminthes, Trematoda, Strigeidida, Schistosomatidae.